Molecule: transfer RNA, 73 nt
Filed under: Felis catus (domestic cat)
Lineage: Eukaryota; Metazoa; Chordata; Mammalia; Carnivora; Felidae
Rfam family: tRNA
About the family: Transfer RNA (tRNA) molecules are approximately 80 nucleotides in length. Their secondary structure includes four short double-helical elements and three loops (D, anti-codon, and T loops). Further hydrogen bonds mediate the characteristic L-shaped molecular structure. tRNAs have two regions of fundamental functional importance: the anti-codon, which is responsible for specific mRNA codon recognition, and the 3' end, to which the tRNAs corresponding amino acid is attached (by aminoacyl-tRNA synthetases). tRNAs cope with the degeneracy of the genetic code in two manners: having more than one tRNA (with a specific anti-codon) for a particular amino acid; and 'wobble' base-pairing, i.e. permitting non-standard base-pairing at the 3rd anti-codon position.
Source: Rfam by way of RNAcentral
ACCUGGCUGGCUCAGCUGGUAGAGCAUGUGACUCUUGAUCUCAGGGUUGUAAGUUCCAGCCCCAUGUUGGGUG